UCGAGAAUCAUUCACAAUGGGGGAAACCCUGAUGGUGCGACGCCGCGUGGGGGAAGAAGGUCUUCGGAUCGUAAACCCCUGUCAUGUGGGAGCAAGCAGCGAUGUAGAUAGUACCACAAGAGGAAGAGACGGCUAACUCUGUGCCAGCAGCCGCGGUAAUACGUAGGGGGCGAGCGUUGUCCGGAAUCACCGGGCGUAAAGGGUGAGUAGGCGGUUAAUUAAGUCGGAAGUAAAAGGCAUCAGCUCAACUGAUGUAAGCUUUCGAAACUGAAUAACUUGAGUGCAGGAGAGGUAAGCGGAAUUCCUAGUGUAGCGGUGAAAUGCGUAGAUAUUAGGAGGAACACCAGUGGCGAAGGCGGCUUACUGGACUGUAACUGACGCUGAGACACGAAAGCGUGGGGAGCGAACA
RNAcentral lists this ribosomal RNA (409 nucleotides) under uncultured bacterium. Its description in RNAcentral is "bacterial SSU rRNA". It matches the Rfam family "Bacterial small subunit ribosomal RNA", at positions 355 to 774 of the family's 1533-position model. The record is from RNAcentral.